Non-coding RNA from Mycena latifolia, 94 nucleotides. NCBI's taxonomy places the organism in Eukaryota, Fungi, Basidiomycota, Agaricomycetes, Agaricales, Mycenaceae. The record is from the annotation of a GenBank genome assembly.
GCUUCCAUAGCUCAAUGGUAGAGCACCACCUCCAACUUCUGGAAAUUCAAGGAAUUUUCAGGUGGGGAUCCGAGUUCAAUUCUCGGUGCAAGCA